GGAAGCUUCUCCACAGCCUCAGGUCAAUGCAGUGCUCUCUUGGGGGUCAGUGCCUGGCAGCACAGAAAGUCUGAAAUUCUCAGCAGCCAGGGCUCCAACAGGUGCUGAAAUCCAUGGAAACGAUCCAGUAAAAUACUUUUCCUGAAAAAAAAACAACAAAAACUUGACUCAAGGCCAAACAUUUAAUGGAGCUACACAGACUUGAGAAGUGAAAGGCAAGAAGAAAAUGGUAAAGGCAAGGGCAUAGAACUUAAGAUUUAUUAGCAACUUACAAUGUUCCAGCUUAAUGACCUUCCUGGAAAUUCAGGACACUGAACAGCCCCCAGAAAUGCCUUUGGGACUGUACUGGAGAGGCUGGAUUUUUGAAAGUCUUAGUAGGUUUUUUAUGGAAAAGGAAUGUUCCUCUGAAUGGCUGUGGCUCCCUGGGAACUGAAGUGAGCAGCUGUGAGGUGUUGGGCUCCAGGCUGCAUUUAAACCGCAAGACUCCUGUUCAGCCAGAUCUAGAGGAUUCCAGAGAACUGAAACUCCACUCAGUGAAUCAGAACUCCAAGCACAAAUGCUCAAGAUAUUCCUUGACAUAAAAAUAAAGUAAAUUUAGGAGUGGACAAGGGAGACAACACCUCAGCUGUGCAGAUGAUUACUGGGUAAGAGUACCCCACUCAGUGUCAGCAGCACUGCAGACGUAACCGGCACAAGAAUUCAUUGAAAGGGAUGGAGGAAAGAAGUGAGAGAGAAGAGAAAAAAACUCUGCAGGAGUUUUUAGGACUGGAUCCUUUCUAUUUUGAGGGAAGACCAGUGAGAAGGCAAAAAAAUGAUCAAAAGAAACUCUGGAGUCAUGGAGGGAACAUGGACAAGAGACAAGACUUUCUGUCCAACUGAAGGUUUCAAGUGUAUCAUCAAAUCUGUUUGAAGAACACUUAGAAUACACUGAAAUUCUGGACUUGGGAAGCUAUCAGUGAAAUUUACUUUGACUUUAAUAGAAGAGGGUCUCCUUUCAGCAUUUUUUAUUUGAGGGCUUUUUCAAGGACUUUGAGUGCCGAGAGUCAGCAAU
Molecule: long non-coding RNA, 1051 nt
Organism: Passer domesticus (house sparrow)
Lineage: Eukaryota; Metazoa; Chordata; Aves; Passeriformes; Passeridae
Exons: 4
Source: RefSeq, a predicted model, not a curated record